GAAUUUUUGGCCAUCCGAGUGUGCAAAGCAAGUUCCAGGCCAGCCCAGAGCUGGUAUAAAGAGAAACCCCAUCUGGAACACCUUACAAAAGAAAGAGGGUCUACAAGGAACCUCGAUGGAGAAGACACGUACCUGCCAGGCCCUUGGAAUAAGACUUCAGUUUCCAGUAGUGAACUCGACAAGUUGGGAGAACCUGCUGCUAUCCAGACUAGCCUCCAGGUUUCCAAAGGCCUCAAGAGCCUGCAAGUAACCCAGACGCGACAGUACACCCAGAGACCCAAUGUAAUCACGCCUCCAGGUGCAUCCAGGCCCUACAAGGAACCUAUGUCGCUGGUGCACUCAGUCACACCAAUGCAGCCAAAUAUUGGGAAGCAUCCAGGUCCCCCACAGUGGCUUGAUCUCCAAUCAUUGGGAACCAGUAAAAUGGAAGCAGGUCUUCUUCCAUCCUCAGGUCCUCAUGGGAGCCCGGCUGGCCAUGGUUUCCCAGGUACACCCUGGGUCUAUGCAACAGCUCCAUGGGAUCUCAUGGGCAAAGUUAACAGUUCUCCCAGUGAAUCCUACUGAAUUUCUACUGAAGUAUUCUUGUUCCCAGGUAUGUCAGCACACACUCAC
This 612-nucleotide long non-coding RNA is filed under the name Cricetulus griseus (Chinese hamster). RNAcentral's name for it is "lncRNA (ENSCGRG00015038987.1)". Lineage: Eukaryota; Metazoa; Chordata; Mammalia; Rodentia; Cricetidae. The record is from RNAcentral.